RNAcentral lists this ribosomal RNA (116 nucleotides) under Salmonella enterica subsp. enterica serovar Enteritidis. The record is from RNAcentral. Lineage: Bacteria; Pseudomonadati; Pseudomonadota; Gammaproteobacteria; Enterobacterales; Enterobacteriaceae.
CCUUGCUUCUGUUGCUCUCUGUUCCCACCUGACCCCAUGCCGAACUCAGAAGUGAAACGCCGUAGCGCCGAUGGUAGUGUGGGGUCUCCCCAUGCGAGAGUAGGGAACUGCCAGGC